Molecule: long non-coding RNA, 1725 nt
Filed under: Homo sapiens (human)
Lineage: Eukaryota; Metazoa; Chordata; Mammalia; Primates; Hominidae
Description: HSALNT0052778
Rfam family: Metazoan signal recognition particle RNA (bases 1070-1369)
Source: RNAcentral
AUAGUUUGAGAAGCACAGAGGCCUCAUCAGUAGCAUAAGAACAAUGAGAGGGAGAAAAACGUGUGGCCCCAAAACAUAGGAAAGCUUUGUUUUUCUGUUCUAACAGGGCUCUACACACAAGUUAAUCAUCAAACUCAGUUUCUUUGAUCUGUUUUCCCUUAUGGAGUUUUCCUACUCAGCAAAUUUUCAUUCCCAGUGUCAGUUCUGACCUGCAUUUCAAUAAAAAAUUUUAUGUAACCUACCUUCCUUCCUUUCUUCCCUCCUUCCUUCCUUCCCUCCUUCUUUUCUUUUUCUUUCUUUCCUUCUUUCUUUUCUUUUUCUUUCUUUCUUUCCUUCUUUCUUUUCUUUUUCUUUCUCUCUCUCUCUCUUCUCUCUCCCUUUCUUUCUUCUUUCUUUCUCUCUCUUUCUUUCUCUUUUCUCUCUCUCUCUCUUUUCUUUCUUGUCUCACUUUGUUGCCCAGGCUGGAGUGCAGUGGCGUGAUCAUGGCUCACUGCAGCCUUGAACUCCAGGUCUCAGGUGAUCCUCCCACCUCAGCCUCCUGAGUAGUUGAGACUACAGGCACAGGCCACCAUGUCUGGCAAAUUUUUCUUUUUUCUUUUUGUAGAGAUGGGGUUGCCCCAUAUUGUCCAGGCUAGUCUUGAACUCCUGGGCUUAAGCAAUCCGCCCACUUCAGCCUCUCAAAGUGUUGAGAUUACAGGUGAGAGCCACGGCACCCGGCCUAAUUUUAUAUUUCUAAUAUUUUUUAAAUGCCAUUAAAGUGAUUAUAAUUUGGAAUAGGUUUUAAAAGAGUAUUAAAUUACACACAUUAAAGGCAAGAAAAAUAAACAUGUACUCCAUUAGAAAGACAAGGCAAAUAAAUGUGAUACAUUGUCCUAGACUGGAUCUUAGACCAGGGGAAAAAAAAUCGGUAAGAGCAUUAUUGGGAAAAUUAACAAAAGUUGAAUAUAGGCUAUGGAUGAGAAAAUAAUAUUGUUUCAAUAUUAAAUUUUCUAUUUUCGAUAAGUGAUAUUGUGGCCAUGUUCUUUGGAAAUACACCCAGAAUUACACAGGAGUAAAGGAGCAUUAUGUUGCCAGGUGUGGUGUUGCACGCCUGUACUCCCAGCUACUCGGGAGGCUGAGGCAGGAGGAUUGCUUGAGUCCAGGAGUUCUGGGCUGUAGUGCGCUAUGCCGAUUGGGUGUCCACACUAAGUUUGGCAUAAAUAUGGUGACCUCCUGGGAACAGGGGACCACCAGGUUGCCUAAGGAGGGGUGAAUUGGCCAAGGUUGGAAACCAAGAAGGUCAAAACUCCCAUGCUGAUCAGUAGUGGGACUGAGCCUGUGAAUAGCUGCUGCACUUUAGCCUGGGCAACAUAGCAAGACCCCAUCUCAAAAAAAAAGGAGCAUAAUGUCUACACCUUAUUCUCAUAUGAUAACUAUAAUAAUAUGUUUAUACUUCCAUACAUAUAAUUAUAUAUUACACAUAAUACACAUGUACCUUACAUGAAAAUGGUGGGAGACCAAGUGAUAGAGCAAAUAAAGCAAAAUGUUAACAAUUGAUGAAGUAGGUAAACAGCAUACAAUAAUUCUUAAGUCAAAAUUAGAAGUUAUUUAAAAAACUGAAAAUAACGAGGUCUCUGGCCUACAAAUGUGGGCAAUUCUGCUGUGCAGCAAUUCCUUAGCCUCCUCACACGUCUUUGAGCUUUCUGAUGCAAAAAGUCCUGAAACCUAACUUGUCCUGGGGUUAAG